Molecule: ribosomal RNA, 484 nt
Filed under: uncultured bacterium
Lineage: Bacteria
Description: partial 16S ribosomal RNA
Rfam family: Bacterial small subunit ribosomal RNA
Source: RNAcentral
AUUGAACGCUGGCGGCAUGCUUUACACAUGCAAGUCGAACGGCAGCGCGGGCUUCGGCCUGGCGACGAGUGGCGAACGGGUGAGUAAUGCAUCGGAAAGUGCCCAGUAGUGGGGGAUAGCCCGGCGAAAGCCGGAUUAAUACCGCAUACGACCUGAGGGUGAAAGCGGGGGACCGAAAGGCCUCGCGCUAUUGGAGCGGCCGAUGUCGGAUUAGCUAGUUGGUGGGGUAAAGGCUUACCAAGGCGACGAUCCGUAGCUGGUCUGAGAGGACGACCAGCCACACUGGGACUGGGACACGGCCCAGACUCCUACGGGAGGCAGCAGUGGGGAAUUUUGGACAAUGGGGGCAACCCUGAUCCAGCCAUGCCGCGUGCGGGAAGAAGGCCUUCGGGUUGUAAACCGCUUUUGUUCGGGAAGAAAUCCUCUGGGCUAAUACCCCGGGGGGAUGACGGUACCGGAAGAAUAAGCACCGGCUAACUACGUG